UGGGGAAUUUUGGACAAUGGGCGAAAGCCUGAUCCAGCAAUGCCGCGUGUGUGAAGAAGGCCUUCGGGUUGUAAAGCACUUUUGUCCGGAAAGAAAUCCUUGGCUCUAAUACAGUCGGGGGAUGACGGUACCGGAAGAAUAAGCACCGGCUAACUACGUGCCAGCAGCCGCGGUAAUACGUAGGGUGCAAGCGUUAAUCGGAAUUACUGGGCGUAAAGCGUGCGCAGGCGGUUUGCUAAGACCGAUGUGAAAUCCCCGGGCUCAACCUGGGAACUGCAUUGGUGACUGGCAGGCUAGAGUAUGGCAGAGGGGGGUAGAAUUCCACGUGUAGCAGUGAAAUGCGUAGAGAUGUGGAGGAAUACCGAUGGCGAAGGCAGCCCCCUGGGCCAAUACUGACGCUCAUGCACGAAAGCGUGGGGAGCAAACAGGAUUAGAUACCCUGGUAGUCCACGCCCUAAAACGAUGUCAACUAGUUGUUGGGGAUUCAUUUCCUUAGUAACGUAGCUAACGCGUGAAGUUGACCGCCUGGGGAGUACGGUCGCAAGAUUAAAACUUAAAUGAAUUGACGGGGUCA
RNAcentral lists this ribosomal RNA (574 nucleotides) under uncultured bacterium. RNAcentral's name for it is "partial 16S ribosomal RNA". It matches the Rfam family "Bacterial small subunit ribosomal RNA", at positions 355 to 921 of the family's 1533-position model. The record is from RNAcentral.